AAUAGCCCUGGGAAACUGGGAUUUAAUACUCCAUAGUAUAUAGGAUGGCGCAUGCUGUUUACUAUUAAAGUUGAGGCGCUGUAAGAUGGGCGUGCGUGCUAUUAGCUAGUUGGUGAGGUAACGGCUCACCAAGGCUACGAUAGCUAGGGGGCGUGAGAGCGUGGCCCCCCACACGGGUACUGAGACACGGACCCGACUCCUACGGGAGGCAGCAGUAAGGAAUAUUGGACAAUGGUCGAAAGACUGAUCCAGCCAUCCCGCGUGCAGGAUGACUGCCCUAUGGGUUGUAAACUGCUUUUAUAUGGGAAGAAUAGCAUAGAUUCAUCUGUGUAUGACGGUACCAUAUGAAUAAGCACCGGCUAACUCCGUG
RNAcentral lists this ribosomal RNA (370 nucleotides) under uncultured bacterium. Its description in RNAcentral is "bacterial SSU rRNA". It matches the Rfam family "Bacterial small subunit ribosomal RNA", at positions 142 to 507 of the family's 1533-position model. The record is from RNAcentral.